Long non-coding RNA from Columba livia (rock pigeon), 5567 nucleotides. RefSeq lists it as uncharacterized. Lineage: Eukaryota; Metazoa; Chordata; Aves; Columbiformes; Columbidae. The record is from RefSeq and is a predicted model, not a curated record. The transcript has 4 exons.
GCCGGCGAUCCGCGGUGCGCAGGCGCGCAGGGUCGGGCGCGGCUCGGGGGGCGUUCCCGCCCCGCCCUGGGCGGGAGAGGCGGGAACUGCGACGCCUCCGCCCCGGGGGCCCCGGGCGCCGCAGCGCCGGAGUGGGGCAGCACUCGGGCUUUGUCAGCGUCUCCUUCUGCAGCGGAGCAGCGCUGUCGCCCUGCAGCCUCCCUGCUGGUUGCUCCCCAUUCUCUCCCUCUCUUUUUAUUUCAUUUUUCUGCGAGGGCACAGCCGGGCGCUUCCUGCGGCCUGACUCGCCGGGUGCGAGUGCGCGGCUUUCCCGGGGCGGAGGGUUCCUGCCGCCGUCUGGUUUUCUGCCAGUCUUUCCCUCCGAAGGCGCGUUUGGCCGCGGGCGUGGUGUGUUCGGGUGCAAGAGCCCGCGCUGCCCGGUGUAUUGAGUUCAGUGCGGAGGGAACAGCCUGUGAGGAGGGAGGGGGUCCCUGGGUUCCUCUCCAUCCGUCUGCUUGUGCCUUUCCGUUCACAGCCAGUGAUCGGGGAGGAAGGUUUGGGGAGGAUGUGGUGUUCAGCUCAUGUGUGGGCCAGUCACCCCUAUGCAUCACUUUGCUCCUCUCAUCAGCCUGUGGGGAUGUUGCACGAGCAGCAGGAGGAAUUUCCCUCCGGUUCGUAUCUUAAUGGUAACGUUGAUGGAGAGAACAGCUUCUUACCCCUGUAACUUUUUCUCCCCCUGCCCCUACUCAGCUACCCCAUUCACAUCACCAGCAAAGGUUUGCAGUUGCUGCUAGACAGGCUGCUGGCAUUUUAUUUGUUGUUGUUUAAAUGAGGGCUCCUUGCACCCUGAGUUUGCUAAACAACAUCAUUUUCAGUUUGGAUGCCUAGGCACAGGCACCCCAGGAAGGAAGCAGUGGGCCUUGAGCUUCUCUGGUCUGACCUGUUGUUUCCCCCGCAGUUUUGGGAACCAGCACAGCACUGGAGAUGAGCUGCAGGAGGGACGAGGGUGAAGGCAUGGCCCUGCCACGUAGGAAACAUCGUGUCACCUGAAGUUCAGGGUUGGUUGUUUGUAACAUCAGAGCUGCCUCUUGGCAUCUCUCAGCAGCACUUGGUGAAGCCGUCCUGGGGUGAAUGUGAACCUGGUGCCUGGAGCUGAAUGUUCCACUCCUUGUUUCUUCAAACCGUUGCUGCUUCUUUCCUGGCAAUGAUGUGGAGGACGAGUGAAUCUGCACAGAUUAACUAUUAAGUACUAUCUAGUAUCUUUUUAGCUUAGCAGCUAAAAACUUUGAACAUGUGAAAGUUGGAGAGCUGUGUAUCUGUAAAACCUUUCUUAGACGUUAUAAAACCAUCGACAGGUUCAUGUGUCUUUGGUUGCUUUGAACCUGCUGAUUCAAGACUUGGUGGUGAUGUCACUCUUGCAUAAACAGUAUUUUUAUCAGGGAAUAAGUGGUUUGCUUGUUCCUUAGACUAUAUCUGCUUGACCUGCAUUUAUUAGGAAUUUCUGUGUUUCCUCUAGCUUGCCAUCCUGCCUCCUUAUGUAUUUUUUAGGCUCCAGUAUUCCUUUUCUUGUGGGCUUAGGUCUCUACCCAGGAUCUCUUUCACAAUCCCUGUCCCCCUCUUUCUUCCCACAUAUGCUGAUGAUUUUGGGGGCCCUUCUUUCCCUGGUUGCACUUGUCCUGUCUGUCUCAUCCUAAUUUAUCUUUACUCUUUCAGAUUAUCAACAUUUUAAAGCUCUUCAGGGAAAUCAGGAAAAGUUUUGCAGAAAUUUGGGAUGUUGAUGGAAGCUAUCAGUUAUUUUACUGUGCUGUCUCCUGGGAGCUGGAGCACUCCCUGAAGCGCUGGAACUGGUGGAAAAUAGUUUUUGAAAAGUAGUACACCACAAAAAUGCAAUGGAGACUGGGCCGAAGAGGUUGUCUACAGUAAGUGAGGCCUUCAGGAAAGCUACUGAGUGGAGAUUGCUACAGUGAGGCAUUGAUAUGUUCAGGGCUCCAUAAAGUGCCCACAGCUCAUUACAAAAGGUCUGUUGCCUGCCAGGACUCUGAGCUUUCUGGUCUCCUGUAUGCGUCCCGCGGCUUUGCCUUUGGUCUGUUGCCAAUGGCAUGCCCUAGAUGACACACGAGGCAAUUAAAGAAAUCCUGGAGAGACAAGAUUGUUUCCCAUGAGGUCACCCCUGAAAGAGAAGCCGUGUGUGGAUACACAUGGCAUGGGUGCCAAGCUGGUAUCAGGCUGAGGAACAAGCUGGAUGCACGUGCCUGCAAAUGUCCACUUGGCAGACCCUGUGUCUCCUGCUCCCAGAGGGAUCUGCUGGAAACUCAUCUAUGACCCUGUCACCAGAGCAGCUCAAGGCUUGCCACACUUUAAGGGCAAGUAUCCUCAAACCAUCCAGGAGUACAAAUACCAUGUUACAGACAGAAAUCUGCGGCGAAGAGAGCUGAAUAAUUUGCCUUAUGUUGUGAGGAAGACCUGGGCGUAGAAACAGAGACCCUUGUAUAUCAAUCCUGAGGUUACCUUUAUCUCUUAGGAGUGGUACCCAGCAUGGGUGUAAGCAGAGCUCCCAGGACCUCUGGCUGGAGGCACCAGAGGAGUCACAGGCAGCUGGUACAUACAAGGGAGCAGGACAAGAGUGAAGGAGCAAAAGGAGGGAGAGGAUUGUGACCCGCAUGAAGGCCAGAGCUGGUGGGAGGUUGUCACAGCCACCAGGACGCGUGGAUGGAGGAGUAUGGUGAUCUUCUCGUGUCUCUCAAAGCAGUACUGUUCUGAAAGGGUUACCUCAGUUUUCUGAGCUUAGAGCAUGUAAAACACAGAGGCAUGACCAGAGCAGAGAGAGAAGGAAAAAAUAUCUCACAAGCCAAGAAAAUAACAAAUGGAGGAACCAAGCCUAAAUCUUGCAUUGUGGGAGGGUAAGAGGGGGUUCAGGGAUGCUGGGGGCAGGGGGAAUAGGAAAUCAUCAUUAAGGGGAGGGAGGAAAGGAGGAAGAGAGAGAGAGGUGAUAUGAUAGAAAUGAGCAGAGGUGGAACAAGGAAAGAGGCUCACAGUGAAUUUAUUUAAUUUCCAGUUGAAUGUCAUCCUGGAAGAAAACCCCAGUUCCUGUGAAGCUGUGAAGACUGGGUCCCUCCUGGGGGGACUUGGCUGGUGCCAAGCAGCAUUACUGUUGAGAUAUAUUUUAGAAUAUACCAUUCCACAGCAGGUGCGUGCAAUUAGAGGAGAGCUCUCCAAAAUAGCAGGCGGCUGUCAAUUUUUUAGCAAAUGGUGUUGCCCUUUUUUUCCUUUGUACAACUAUGUAGAAAUUUAUUCUGGGAUGCAUCAUCUUUACAGAAACAUUUUCAAAGGACCUAUUAUUUUUACCCUCCUGUUGCUUUUUGUGGCCAGACAAGGAGCAGAAGGCUAUUCAAAUAGCCACUGUGGGUGAGCUUUUUUUCACUGGGGGGAAGUUAAUGAAUUCUAAUGAAUAAGCAAGUUUCAGGAAACCUUUAUUGCUGAAACCAGUGUGCAAAUUUCCUCCUGGCUGGAAUUUAACCAAAUUACAAUGACUGCUACCUUUGCAAAGUAUUACCAUUGCUAUUGUUUACCUUUUUAUAGUGUGUCACAAACAUAUAAUUCUUCAGAACACUCUGUAUGACGAACUUGCAUUUACAUCCAAAUUUUCUUGAAGGCAAAACUGAGUCAUAAUGAGUUUCAUAAUUCAACCAAACCACACAGACAUUGUGUGGCUGAUACUUUGAUAAGGUAUGUGACUGAAUAUCGUGAUUAGAUUUUUGUCCCACAACAUGGAUUGACAUUAAAUAGUGUUUCAAAAAUAUCCACCGAAGAAACGAUUUAUCCUGAUGAGUUCCAGUGUUUUACUGGGCUCUGGAGCCCUCAGUACAAGAAAGACAUGGACCUGUUGGAGGGAGGCCACCAAGAUGGUCAGAGGGCUGGAACACCUCUCCUGUGAGGACAGGCUGAGAGAGCUGGGGUUGUUCAGCCUGCAGAAGAGAAGGCUCCGAGAAGACCUUAUUUCAGCCUUGCAGUAUUUAAAAGGUGCCUAUAAGAAGGAUGGGGACAGACUUUUUAGCGGGGCCUGUUACAAUAUGACAAGGGUUAAUGGUUUUACACUAAAGGAGGGGAGAUUCAGGCUAGAUGUGAGGAAGAAAUUUUUUACGAUGAAAUUAGGUGAAACACUGGCACAGGUUGCCCAGAGAGGUGGUGGAUGCCCCAUCCCUGGAGACAUUCCAGGACAGGCUGGACGGGGCUCUGAGCAACCUGAUCUAGUUGAAGAUGUCACUGCUCAUUGCAGGGGUGUUGGACUAGAUGAGCUUUGAAGGUCCCUUCCAACCCAAACUACUCUAUGAUUCUGUGAUUGUUUCUUGGAUUAGGUAAACACCUUCUCCCCGAACAAUGGACUGUAGCUAUUGUGGUGUAAACCAGAGAUUUACUGCAAAAUGUCUGCAGGGUCAAGAAUAGAAAUAGAAUCUGGGCAUCGCUUAGGUAGGUGGUUGUUUUCCCCCCUGAAUGGUAGAGGUCAGAAAAUAGGUUUAUAUUGCCCUGGCUUCUUUGAUUCCUUCCCAAGUGCUUUUUGCUCAGCAAGGGAAGUGGGCUGGAAACAUUCUCUCACAGCUCUAUGCAACACAGGCUGCAGCUGUGCUGGGGACACAGCAGUGACACUGGCUGCCAGAGGAGGGUGGCAUAACGAGGCCCAAAGUGAGCCAUGAGCAGCUCAGGCCAAACAUGACAACUCCCUUUUCUGGUCUUGUGUGGCAGCUCCAUGAACGGUGUGGAGCAUAUGGAAUAUAUCUUAAUGGCCAGGUACUUUAAUUGCCAGAGCCACUUCUGGGUGGACUAUUUGCUGCUCUUCUUGAGCACAAAGUGUUUUCCUACCCUUCCAAAUACCCUUUGCACUCCAAAAUGUUCCCAUGAGUGGCUCUCUGAGUACAAUUAAGUGCUUUUGCUCUGGUCCCUUGAAGUGGCUAUGGCUACUGAAACCUCAGGUGUCGUAAGUGGCGGGUCCCCACUCUUGCAACACAAGCAAGAAUACACACAGUAUUUGUGUUCAGAAACACGGGCUGCUUUACUCUGUGGCCAAAAGAGCUUUUGCCAUUCCCAGCUGCAGAGCUACGAGUGAUGUCUCUGUGUCUUGCUGGGAUCGGUGACCACAGUGACUAUUAUAAACUAGUCAGUCUGGGCAUAUAAGCUGUACUGUGUUCACAAAGAGCAAAAAUUUAUUUGUAAGUUGUUUAACUGUGCUGUGUUGCUUCCAGUGGAGCUGUAUCACUGUUGUCUACUCCAGUCUGUCUGUCGUUGUGAACCUUGUAGCCAGCUGCUUUGUGAGCAAGGCGCCUGGGAAAUGGAAGGAAUGUUUCCACUCCUAAUUUCUGUGAUCCUUUGGGGUGGAAUUGGCAAAAAUAAACUCCUAAAUGCCACUGCAGACCAAGCCCUCCUCGUAAGGCACCACUCGUGGUACAGUGUACAGAUCUAUGCAUCUUGUCUCCUUUUCUGCAUGCUUUCACAUCAGCCAUUUACCUUCCAGGAGUGAAAUGGUGUGUAUAGAUACUUGCAGGUCAUAAUUUUAUUUCUGAAUUCCUGCAGGCUAUGUGAGACAGUCCUGGAAG